Molecule: ribosomal RNA, 301 nt
Filed under: uncultured bacterium
Lineage: Bacteria
Description: partial 16S ribosomal RNA
Rfam family: Bacterial small subunit ribosomal RNA
Source: RNAcentral
CAGUAGCCGCGGUAAUACGGAGGGUGCAAGCGUUAAUCGGAAUUACUGGGCGUAAAGCGCACGCAGGCGGUCUGACAAGUCAGAUGUGAAAUCCCCGGGCUUAACCUGGGAACUGCAUUUGAAACUGUCAGGCUGGAGUCUUGUAGAGGGGGGUAGAAUUCCAGGUGUAGCGGUGAAAUGCGUAGAGAUCUGGAGGAAUACCGGUGGCGAAGGCGGCCCCCUGGACAAAGACUGACGCUCAGGUGCGAAAGCGUGGGGAGCAAACAGGAUUAGAUACCCCAGUAGCCCUGUCUCUUAUACA